Long non-coding RNA from Hypomesus transpacificus, 429 nucleotides. RefSeq lists it as uncharacterized. NCBI's taxonomy places the organism in Eukaryota, Metazoa, Chordata, Actinopteri, Osmeriformes, Osmeridae. The transcript has 3 exons. The record is from RefSeq and is a predicted model, not a curated record.
CUGGGGGAAAUUCCUACUCCAGAGUUGAAAAUGGCGAUGGACGGGUUGUCCACGUCUCAAUCCGGACUUUCGUAUGCUGGGGAUUUUUACCCUAGAAAAUUUGGUCCCAAACCGGACGUGGUACCGUCCGGUAUUACGGAGAGGAAAGUUGGCCCACUCGAUAAACCUGACAUGGUUGCGGUGGACGUCAUUAACAUCCAGGAUUCAGAUAUUCCAUUGCACAGGAAAAAGCAAGAACAUGACACCUAUGUUUUGGGUACUAUUCACCCUUUCCGGAAGACUCACAGAUCCUUGUUUGGUAAACUCUUGCAAGAAUUCCGCUUGGUGACUUCAGAAAGAAGGGUGAGUUUGUGUGCACUUGCAACCUUAAAGACAGCAUUAUUCCUUGUAAACAUGUGUAUUGUAUUGUAUAAUCUUAAAUGCUGACUU